Non-coding RNA from Xyrichtys novacula (pearly razorfish), 95 nucleotides. The record is from the annotation of a GenBank genome assembly. Lineage: Eukaryota; Metazoa; Chordata; Actinopteri; Labriformes; Labridae.
AACACAAAAAGAGAAAACACAACGGCAAAUCAGAAAACACAACACUUUUUGUGUUUUGUUUUCGUAUUUGCCGUUGUGUUUUCUCUUUUUGUGUU